GGAAGCACAAGAUAUCUUAACGGAGACGACGAGCUUCACGUUCGGAUUCCAAGAGACAGAGAAUGUCGUUUUCACGAACGGGACCCUUGACGUUACGGAUGAUGGAACGGUUAGUAUCGUCCAUGAAUUCAACGCGAACUUGGGUGACACCACCACGAGAACCGGUACGGCCGAGAACCUUUGUAACUCUGGCAAGCUUGACGGGAGUCUUA
This 212-nucleotide unclassified non-coding RNA is filed under the name Hevea brasiliensis (rubber tree). Lineage: Eukaryota; Viridiplantae; Streptophyta; Magnoliopsida; Malpighiales; Euphorbiaceae. The record is from RNAcentral.